CCCUUAGAUGUCCUGGGCCGCACGCGCGUUACACUGAUGCAUUCAACGAGCUUAUAACCUUGGCCGAGAGGCCCGGGCAAUCUUGUUAACGUGCAUCGUGAUAGGGAUAGAUUAUUGAAAUUAUUAAUCUUGAACGAGGAAUUCCUAGUAAACGCAGAUCAUCAAUCUGCAUUGAUUACGUCCCUGCCCUUUGUACACACCGCCCGUCGCACCUACCGAUUGGAUGGUCCGGUAAAGCCUCGGGAUUGUGGUUCUUGCCGCUUUAUUGUGGCGUGACCGCGAGAACUUGUCUAAACCUUAUCAUCUAGAGGAAGGUGAAGUCGUAACA
This 328-nucleotide ribosomal RNA is filed under the name uncultured eukaryote. RNAcentral describes it as "partial 18S ribosomal RNA". It matches the Rfam family "Eukaryotic small subunit ribosomal RNA", at positions 1470 to 1796 of the family's 1831-position model. The record is from RNAcentral.